This is a long non-coding RNA of Panthera uncia (snow leopard), 2711 nucleotides long. RefSeq lists it as uncharacterized. NCBI's taxonomy places the organism in Eukaryota, Metazoa, Chordata, Mammalia, Carnivora, Felidae. The transcript is spliced from 2 exons. The record is from RefSeq and is a predicted model, not a curated record.
ACAUUGUGUGCAAUGCAAAGGUUAGGCAUACAUAAUUCAGGCCUAAAAUUAAUCCUGAAGCCAAAAAGCUACAGGGAAGUGGAACAAAAGGAAUCGGAGCCUCUGGGACACCAAAGAGGGCUCUUGGAGAGGAGAGGGCAGUUGCCUGAAAUAGUCAACAGAUGGAGCUGGGGGGCUGCGAACCCCUCCGAUUUCAGCGGGCAGCGGGGGACUUUUGCGCAGGGAGCUGGGCUUCCCGCUGGCGGCGGGAGUCAGUGCUUCAGGCGCACGCUGAUCAAAGAUACGCGCCCGCCACACGCAGUCCUGGGAUCGCGGUCAGAGAAAUACGAUUCCAGCCUGAGGAAAGCGUGAGCCGCUGACGGCACAGUGAAGUGUGCAGGUCCUGCGGAGGCUCUGACGCAGCCCGAGGACCAAGCCAGCCCUUUCUGUACCUCUAGUCCUUGAGGAUCUGGGUCACGGAGAACCAGAGGCGGGACCUCGAGAGGUACUGGCUUUGGAACCCACAGGAAAUCUCUUCCUUCUAUUUUAUUUAUUUACUUAUAUGCCUCUUAUUUAUAAAUGAUCUCAUCCGGCCAGAAUCGGCACUUUCUCUAACAAAGAAAAUUUUUUUUGUCCAUAAAUGGAAAUAAAAAUCAGCUAGGAAUAUCCCCAUUGCUGUGCCUGACAUAACUGGAGCGAACGAGGGCCUUGGAGGGCCGCCUAAAAUUGGUGGUAGGGCUAUAGCUCCUGGGGAGGGGAACCGCCGCUCUUCCCUUAUGAGGAGGCAGGGCUGAAGCUCCAAGAAAAUGAGAACCAGCUCUGCCUGGUUUGACUCAUCAUUUUGUCCACCGGCCACAGUGCCCGGCGCGCAGUAGGUGCUGAAUACUUUACCGUUCAUUGGAUGAACGAACAAAUGAAUGACUUAAAGCCAUUGUGGUCUUGGAAGCAAGAUAAGAAGACUUUGAGCCUCACGGAUCUAUAUUUAAAUUCUGGCUCCUAAAUCCUGUCAGUGACAAUGUACUGGGCAAGUUAUUUGACCUCCUCUGGCCACUAGUUCUUCAACAAUAAUGUGCCAUAUUCGUUGCUAUAUUCUCAGUGCCUGGAAAGUAAUAGAUGCUCAAUAAAUACUCUGUGUAAAUGGGACAUUUUGCAUCAGCUUUCUUGUUUGUAAAAGAGGUACCAAGACAUCUACCCAGGAGAAUUAACUGUUAAGAAGAUCAAACGUGAUAAUAUAUUUAAAGUUCCUGGCUCACAAAAAGUGUUGAACAAAUAUAUGGUGACUAUUAUUUUUGUUGGCCGACAUCCCCACUGCCCUCUGUUCCAGUAAUCCAGGUAGUUCUCAGAUGUGAAGCUGGGACCCAACGCUAUGGACUUCUCCCAGGAAGUAGCUGUCUGUGCUAUGCCUUCUCUCUCCUACUCACCUUCUAAGCAUCUGAGCUUGCACUCAGUUAUUCAAGCGAUGUCCUGACUGGGGAGGCUGUGAUCAGAGAACAUUAUCCACUUUAGCUCAGGCUGAAAUUCCAGCUGACAACAGAAACAAAGGCAGUCUCAGUGCUCAGUCAGUAAGAAGGCAAAUUACUUCCUGGGAGUCAGGCCUCUUUCCAACCAUAGCCCGUACGAGGCCCACAAAAAGAACAUGGCAGUCUAAGCUCAUCCCUCUGAAAGAUGCAACAGACCAAACUCCAGGUUUCAGAGGGCUUCCUGGUUUGCAAGAUUCUCCCCGAAGCUAAUCCUGGCAUUGGCUUCCUUGAAUUUUCCUUUGGGAAAGAUACCAAUGGGAAUUUCCACCUCAGGAUUGGACAAUCGUGACUUCAGAUCUACAGAGGAAGUUUCAAGGGAAAUCUAAAUUUCAGGACUAUCUGGAAGCUCCCAAGAAGCAGACAUCUGUAACUCUAGAGCUUUGUAAGAUGAGCCAGGACAAUUUUCUUUCCAGAGUGCUUAAAGGCAGCCUUGCCUGGAGAAUUUCUAAAGAGUCAUUCGAUUUCAUGUUUCAGUAAGAUGAUGACACAGAGAAAACCCAACAGCAACGCAAUUACUUGAAGAUCGUUCUUCUGUUUAGGGGGAAUGGAUUGGAAACAUCUUUUAAGGAAGAGUGAGUUUUGGCUGAAAUCUCUCUGUAUUAAAAACUUGCCCAGCAAGGCAUCAAGAUGGCCUCCGGCCGGAGACUGAAUCAUCUUUGCAUGACAUCUACAUGCCCUACUUGUGCGAGUCCUCAGGGAACAGGGCAGAACUUCCAUUCCAGAUCCAAGAGGAUGGUGUGGCAACCUUUCCCAUCCAUGUGCCUAAGGAUCCUGACGUGGAAAGAGAUGAUACCACCUUCCCCCGCACAGCUCAUUCUAGUUAUUCAUACUCCUAGAACUGGGAAGCUCAUAAUCUACUCCUGUCUAACUGCUGUUUGUAGAAAUACAUUUGUCAGAGCCUACCAGAGCCAUAGACAGUGUGAAGAACAAAGAGGGUGUCCAGUGGGGGAGAGUCCUAGAAAUCCCCCAAAUGAGGAGAUUGUAAGUAGGUUUGUUUCAUGACUCCUUUUCUAUAGGAACCUGCCCCACGUAUGCAUCCCUAGUAUUGGACAACUCCAAAGAAAAUGUCCCCUCACCCCUCACUCAUCUACCAAGAAUUCAAACAGGAAAUGAUGGAAGAUCCUUCCACACUGUCCCAGUUCGUACUCAACUAUUGUUUUUUUAUUAUCUGGCUUGACAAAUUAAAAAAAAAAAAGUGUACAGAUAAAUGAA